This 206-nucleotide long non-coding RNA is filed under the name Elaeis guineensis (African oil palm). RNAcentral describes it as "long non-coding RNA (EGUI_LNC072682)". The record is from RNAcentral. Lineage: Eukaryota; Viridiplantae; Streptophyta; Magnoliopsida; Arecales; Arecaceae.
AUGUAGUUCAUUUUUCACCUAUCGCCAGUGUAGUUCGUCGCUUUUUCUUUUCAUCUCUCCUUUUUCUUCUGUGUUUGAGUGAGGGUCUUCCCUCUGCUCUUGACGGAGUCAUGAGAGUGUAGAGGAGUCAUUGAGGAAGCUUUCUCCCUCGUCGAUCAAUCGAGUCUUUGGUUGCAUCGGGAUGAGGUCCUCCCCUUAUUCCUGAC